UACGAAGGGGGCUAGCGUUGCUCGGAAUCACUGGGCGUAAAGCGCACGUAGGCGGACUCUUAAGUCGGUGGUGAAAUCCUGGAGCUCAACUCCAGAACUGCCUUCGAUACUGGGAGUCUCGAGUCCGGGAGAGGUGAGUGGAACUGCGAGUGUAGGGGUGAAAUUCGUAGAUAUUCGCAAGAACACCAGUGGCGAAGGCGGCUCACUGGCCCGGUACUGACGCUGAGGUGCGAAAGCGUGGGGAGCAAACAGG
This 253-nucleotide ribosomal RNA is filed under the name uncultured bacterium. RNAcentral describes it as "partial 16S ribosomal RNA". It matches the Rfam family "Bacterial small subunit ribosomal RNA", at positions 524 to 776 of the family's 1533-position model. The record is from RNAcentral.